UACGUAGGGGGCUAGCGUUGUCCGGAUUUAUUGGGCGUAAAGAGCGUGUAGGCGGCCAGGUAGGUCUGCUGUGAAAACCCGAGGCUCAACCUCGAGACGCCGGUGGAAACCGUAAAGCUAGAGUCCGGAAGAGGAGAGUGGAAUUCCUGGUGUAGCGGUGAAAUGCGCAGAUAUCAGGAGGAACACCCGUGGCGAAAGCGGCUCUCUGGGACGGUACUGACGCUGAGACGCGAAAGCGUGGGGAGCAAACAGG
RNAcentral lists this ribosomal RNA (253 nucleotides) under uncultured bacterium. RNAcentral's name for it is "partial 16S ribosomal RNA". It matches the Rfam family "Bacterial small subunit ribosomal RNA", at positions 524 to 776 of the family's 1533-position model. The record is from RNAcentral.